Molecule: ribosomal RNA, 274 nt
Filed under: uncultured bacterium
Lineage: Bacteria
Description: partial 16S ribosomal RNA
Rfam family: Bacterial small subunit ribosomal RNA
Source: RNAcentral
AUACGGAGGGUGCAAGCGUUGUUCGGAAUCACUGGGCGUAAAGGGCGCGCAGGCGGUUUGGUAAGUCAGAUGUGAAAGCCCACGGCUCAACCGUGGAAGUGCAUUUGAAACUGCCAGGCUUGAGUACCAGAGGGGAAAGUGGAAUUCCCGGUGUAGAGGUGAAAUUCGUAGAUAUCGGGAGGAAUACCGGUGGCGAAGGCGACUUUCUGGCUGGAUACUGACGCUGAGGCGCGAAAGCGUGGGGAGCGAACAGGAUUAGAAACCCCAGUAGUCC